CAGUCGCCGCGGGAAAACGUAGGUGGCAAGCGUUGUCCGGAAUUAUUGGGCGUAAAGGGCUCGCAGGCGGUUUCUUAAGUCUGAUGUGAAAGCCCCCGGCUCAACCGGGGAGGGUCAUUGGAAACUGGGAAACUUGAGUGCAGAAGAGGAGAGUGGAAUUUCACGUGUAGCGGUGAAAUGCGUAGAGAUGUGGAGGAACACCAGUGGCGGAGGCGACUCUCUGGUCUGUAACUGACGCUGAGGAGCGAAAGCGUGGGGAGCGAACAGGAUUAGAUACCCCUGUAGUCCCUGUCUCUUAUAC
RNAcentral lists this ribosomal RNA (301 nucleotides) under uncultured bacterium. RNAcentral's name for it is "partial 16S ribosomal RNA". It matches the Rfam family "Bacterial small subunit ribosomal RNA", at positions 509 to 807 of the family's 1533-position model. The record is from RNAcentral.